Molecule: ribosomal RNA, 301 nt
Filed under: uncultured bacterium
Lineage: Bacteria
Description: partial 16S ribosomal RNA
Rfam family: Bacterial small subunit ribosomal RNA
Source: RNAcentral
CAGUAGCCACGGUAAUACGGAGGGGGCUAGCGUUGUUCGGAAUUACUGGGCGUAAAGCGCACGUAGGCGGCUUGGUAAGUUAGAGGUGAAAGCCUAGAGCUCAACUCCAGAAUUGCCUUUAAGACUGCCGAGCUAGCAGGUGAGAGAGGUAAGUGGAAUUCCGCGUGUAGCAGUGAAAUGCGUAGAUAUGCGGAGGAACACCGAUGGCGAAGGCAGCCCCCUGGGCCAAUACUGACGCUCAUGCACGAAAGCGUGGGGAGCAAACAGGAUUAGAUACCCCCGUAGUCCCUGUCUCUUAUAC